This 430-nucleotide long non-coding RNA is filed under the name Coccomyxa subellipsoidea. Its description in RNAcentral is "long non-coding RNA (CSUB_LNC000591)". Lineage: Eukaryota; Viridiplantae; Chlorophyta; Trebouxiophyceae; Coccomyxaceae. The record is from RNAcentral.
UGGUGCGCCUGGCUUGGAGAACACAAUGUCGCGCCCGAUGAAUUUCCGGUCGCCGAAGCUGGCGUUCAUGCUGGAGUAGUACAGCCUCGCUUGCUGGCCGCACUCCUGAUCGCCGCCGGCGCCAAUGAUUGUAGGGUACCAUGUCUUCCUGUCGGGCUCCUGCAGGCGUGACAGCAACAUUCAGUAGUGUCCAGGCCAACAGCAAACAAAAUUCCAAAGCUGGUCCACUGUUGACCAUGAUUUCAACAGUUUUCAGAUACACCCAGAUCUGAUAGGUAUGCCUCACCACAACAAUUCGGACAGCGGGUGCCCAGUGCAGCAGGUCGGUGGAAGAGGAGAGCAUGACAUCAAAGGGCUCCCAGGAGUGCCAGGUCAGCAGCCAGCGCUGCAGGUAGCUGUUCCACGUCACGCUGGGAUUCCCUCCCCACAC